CCUACGGGUGGCAGCAGUGGGGAAUAUUGGGCAAUGGGCGCAAGCCUGACCCAGCAACGCCGCGUGAAGGAAGAAGGCUCUCGGGUUGUAAACUUUUUUUUAGCGGGAAGCGCAGAAGACGGUACCUCUUGAAUAAGCCACGGCUUACUACGUGCCAGCAGCCGCGGUAAUACGGAGGUGGCAGGCGGUGUCCGGAUUUACUGGGUGUAAAGGGCGUGUAGCCGGGCUGACAAGUCAGUUGUGAAAUUCCGGGGCUCAACCCCGGGCCUGCAGUUGAAACUGUUGGUCGUGAGUAUGGGAGAGGCAGGCGGAAUGCGUAGUGUAGCGGUGAAAUGCGUAGAGAUUGGGAGGAACACCAGUGGCGAAGGCGGCCUGCUGGACGACAACUGACGGUGAGGCGCGAAAGCGUGGGGAGCGAACAGGAUUAGAUACCCCAGUAGUC
RNAcentral lists this ribosomal RNA (442 nucleotides) under uncultured bacterium. RNAcentral describes it as "partial 16S ribosomal RNA". It matches the Rfam family "Bacterial small subunit ribosomal RNA", at positions 338 to 795 of the family's 1533-position model. The record is from RNAcentral.